UGGGGAUAUAUAGAGGUAAGUUGAAGUGUGCCAAUGGUUUCCGUGUGUGUGCUGAGGUGUUUGAAGCAUGCAGAGUUGAGGACUUCUCUUUAAGUAUGAGUGGAGAUAGGGAUUGUUUGGGGAGGAUUGAUGAGAAAUCUAAGCAAAAAAUUUUGGGCUAGCGUUUCUUUUAGACAAUGUGACAAGAGAAUUGAGAGUAAUGGACAUUUGUUGAGUCCCUUUUCUCUCUCUUCAUGUUUUUUAUAUUUAUGAGUAGGAAAG
Molecule: long non-coding RNA, 261 nt
Filed under: Panax ginseng (ginseng)
Lineage: Eukaryota; Viridiplantae; Streptophyta; Magnoliopsida; Apiales; Araliaceae
Description: long non-coding RNA (PGIN_LNC011650)
Source: RNAcentral